GUGGGGAAUCUUAGACAAUGGGGGAAACCCUGAUCUAGCCAUGCCGCGUGAGCGAUGAAGGCCUUAGGGUUGUAAAGCUCUUUCAGCUGGGAAGAUAAUGACGGUACCAGCAGAAGAAGCCCCGGCUAACUCCGUGCCAGCAGCCGCGGUAAUACGGAGGGGGCUAGCGUUGUUCGGAAUUACUGGGCGUAAAGCGCGCGUAGGCGGACCAGAAAGUUGGAGGUGAAAUCCCAGGGCUCAACCUUGGAACUGCCUUCAAAACUCCUGGUCUGGAGUUCGAGAGAGGUGAGUGGAAUUCCGAGUGUAGAGGUGAAAUUCGUAGAUAUUCGGAGGAACACCAGUGGCGAAGGCGGCUUUCUGGACGGUGUCUGACACUGAGGCGCGAAAGCCAGGGGAGCGAACGGGAUUAGAAACCCUUGUAGUCC
RNAcentral lists this ribosomal RNA (425 nucleotides) under uncultured bacterium. RNAcentral describes it as "partial 16S ribosomal RNA". It matches the Rfam family "Bacterial small subunit ribosomal RNA", at positions 354 to 796 of the family's 1533-position model. The record is from RNAcentral.